AGCAGCCGCGGUAAUUCCAGCUCCAAUAGCGUAUAUUAAAGUUGUUGCAGUUAAAAAGCUCGUAGUUGAAUUUCGGGGUUCUACCGUUGGUCGGGCUUUGUCUGUACUGGCGUGUAGAAUUUCUACCUUCUGGGGAACCAUCAUGUUAUUAAUUUAACGUGGUGGGAAACCAGGACCUUUACCUUGAAAAAAUUAGAGUGUUCAAAGCAGGCUUAUGUCUGAAUACAUUAGCAUGGAAUAAUAGAAUAGGACGGUGGUCCUGUUUUGUUGGUUUCUGAAUCACCGUAAUGAUUAAUAGGGAUAGUUGGGGGCAUUAGUAUUCAAUUGUCAGAGGUGAAAUUCUUGGAUUUAUUGAAGACUAACUUCUGCGAAAGCAUUUGCCAAGGAUGUUUUCAUUAAUCAAGAACGAAAGUUAGGGGAUCGAAGACGAUCAGAUACCGUCGUAGUCUUAACCAU
Molecule: unclassified non-coding RNA, 456 nt
Filed under: uncultured Glomus
Lineage: Eukaryota; Fungi; Glomeromycota; Glomeromycetes; Glomerales; Glomeraceae
Description: SSU rRNA
Rfam family: Eukaryotic small subunit ribosomal RNA
Source: RNAcentral